RNAcentral lists this ribosomal RNA (403 nucleotides) under bacterium. RNAcentral's name for it is "partial 16S ribosomal RNA". It matches the Rfam family "Bacterial small subunit ribosomal RNA", at positions 355 to 776 of the family's 1533-position model. The record is from RNAcentral.
UGGGGAAUAUUGCACAAUGGGGGAAACCCUGAUGCAGCGACGCCGCGUGAACGAAGAAGGUAUUCGUAUCGUAAAGUUCUGUCCUAUGGGAAGAUAAUGACAGUACCAUAGAAGAAAGCUCCGGCUAAAUACGUGCCAGCAGCCGCGGUAAUACGUAUGGAGCGAGCGUUGUCCGGAAUUAUUGGGUGUAAAGGGUACGCAGGCGGUUUAAUAAGUCGAAUGUUAAAGAUCGGGGCUCAACCCCGCAAAGCAUUGGAAACUGAUAAACUUGAGUAGUGGAGAGGAAAGUGGAAUUCCUAGUGUAGUGGUGAAAUACGUAGAUAUUAGGAGGAAUACCAGUAGCGAAGGCGACUUUCUGGACACAAACUGACGCUGAGGUACGAAAGCGUGGGGAGCAAACAGG